UUAAGCGACUAAGCGUACACGGUGGAUGCCCUGGCAGUCAGAGGCGAUGAAGGACGUGCUAAUCUGCGAUAAGCGUCGGUAAGGUGAUAUGAACCGUUAUAACCGGCGAUUUCCGAAUGGGGAAACCCAGUGUGAUUCGUCACACUAUCAUUAACUGAAUCCAUAGGUUAAUGAGGCGAACCGGGGGAACUGAAACAUCUAAGUACCCCGAGGAAAAGAAAUCAACCGAGAUUCCCCCAGUAGCGGCGAGCGAACGGGGAGCAGCCCAGAGCCUGAAUCAGUGUGUGUGUUAGUGGAAGCGUCUGGAAAGGCGCGCGAUACAGGGUGACAGCCCCGUACACAAAAAUGCACAUGCUGUGAGCUCGAUGAGUAGGGCGGGACACGUGGUAUCCUGUCUGAAUAUGGGGGGACCAUCCUCCAAGGCUAAAUACUCCUGACUGACCGAUAGUGAACCAGUACCGUGAGGGAAAGGCGAAAAGAACCCCGGCGAGGGGAGUGAAAAAGAACCUGAAACCGUGUACGUACAAGCAGUGGGAGCACAGAGCAAUCUGUGUGACUGCGUACCUUUUGUAUAAUGGGUCAGCGACUUAUAUUCUGUAGCAAGGUUAACCGAAUAGGGGAGCCGAAGGGAAACCGAGUCUUAACUGGGCGUUAAGUUGCAGGGUAUAGACCCGAAACCCGGUGAUCUAGCCAUGGGCAGGUUGAAGGUUGGGUAACACUAACUGGAGGACCGAACCGACUAAUGUUGAAAAAUUAGCGGAUGACUUGUGGCUGGGGGUGAAAGGCCAAUCAAACCGGGAGAUAGCUGGUUCUCCCCGAAAGCUAUUUAGGUAGCGCCUCGUGAAUUCAUCUCCGGGGGUAGAGCACUGUUUCGGCAAGGGGGUCAUCCCGACUUACCAACCCGAUGCAAACUGCGAAUACCGGAGAAUGUUAUCACGGGAGACACACGGCGGGUGCUAACGUCCGUCGUGAAGAGGGAAACAACCCAGACCGCCAGCUAAGGUCCCAAAGUCAUGGUUAAGUGGGAAACGAUGUGGGAAGGCCCAGACAGCCAGGAUGUUGGCUUAGAAGCAGCCAUCAUUUAAAGAAAGCGUAAUAGCUCACUGGUCGAGUCGGCCUGCGCGGAAGAUGUAACGGGGCUAAACCAUGCACCGAAGCUGCGGCAGCGACACUAUGUGUUGUUGGGUAGGGGAGCGUUCUGUAAGCCUGUGAAGGUGUACUGUGAGGUAUGCUGGAGGUAUCAGAAGUGCGAAUGCUGACAUAAGUAACGAUAAAGCGGGUGAAAAGCCCGCUCGCCGGAAGACCAAGGGUUCCUGUCCAACGUUAAUCGGGGCAGGGUGAGUCGACCCCUAAGGCGAGGCCGAAAGGCGUAGUCGAUGGGAAACAGGUUAAUAUUCCUGUACUUGGUGUUACUGCGAAGGGGGGACGGAGAAGGCUAUGUUGGCCGGGCGACGGUUGUCCCGGUUUAAGCGUGUAGGCUGGUUUUCCAGGCAAAUCCGGAAAAUCAAGGCUGAGGCGUGAUGACGAGGCACUACGGUGCUGAAGCAACAAAUGCCCUGCUUCCAGGAAAAGCCUCUAAGCAUCAGGUAACAUCAAAUCGUACCCCAAACCGACACAGGUGGUCAGGUAGAGAAUACCAAGGCGCUUGAGAGAACUCGGGUGAAGGAACUAGGCAAAAUGGUGCCGUAACUUCGGGAGAAGGCACGCUGAUAUGUAGGUGAAGCGACUUGCUCGUGGAGCUGAAAUCAGUCGAAGAUACCAGCUGGCUGCAACUGUUUAUUAAAAACACAGCACUGUGCAAACACGAAAGUGGACGUAUACGGUGUGACGCCUGCCCGGUGCCGGAAGGUUAAUUGAUGGGGUCAGCGCAAGCGAAGCUCUUGAUCGAAGCCCCGGUAAACGGCGGCCGUAACUAUAACGGUCCUAAGGUAGCGAAAUUCCUUGUCGGGUAAGUUCCGACCUGC
RNAcentral lists this ribosomal RNA (1964 nucleotides) under human gut metagenome. RNAcentral's name for it is "bacterial LSU rRNA". It matches the Rfam family "Bacterial large subunit ribosomal RNA", at positions 1 to 1991 of the family's 2925-position model. The record is from RNAcentral.